Molecule: unclassified non-coding RNA, 800 nt
Filed under: Hevea brasiliensis (rubber tree)
Lineage: Eukaryota; Viridiplantae; Streptophyta; Magnoliopsida; Malpighiales; Euphorbiaceae
Source: RNAcentral
UCCAAAGGUAGACUUUCAUUAAAGAUCAACAGAUGAGUAGGAGAAAAUACCAAAGUUACAUUGCGUCAAAGGAUUGUAAUAAAAGGAAUCAUCAAGCAGACUUUUUCUGGCUAACACAUGAGCUGCUUUGUUCCUGUUCCUGUUGACAUACUUAAAAACACAAGAAACAAAAUCUGAUUGAAGAAUGUAGAUAUCCUGAAUAAUGCCCUGAAUACUGAUUACACUUGGAGAGCCACUUUGAGCUACAGUAAUCACAUUUAAGAGUCUCCUUCCGCUAUAAUUUGUUUGAAACCUCUCGUUUUUGCUAGAACUAGAGCCUCCCUGCAUGCUAGUGCCUCUAAAAAGAGAGGAUCUAUAAUGUUUGGGAAUCGUUUGCAAGACAACUACAAGGCUUGCCCCCUGAAUCUCUGACUAAAGCAGCAAUCGAGCCCCUAUUAGAUGUUGAAUUCAUAGCUCUAUCAAUAUUGAUCUUAACAUAAUUAUGAGGAGGGGGCGACUAGUUUAUAGGAACCUGAGGGGGUGCCAUUUGGGGGGGAUGAGAUUCCUAUAGCAAAAAGAAAUCUUUACACAAGGAAAUUGCGGCUGAGAUGCUCUGGUGGUGCGUUUGGAUUUCAUUUUGGAAGAUUAGAUCAUUUCGACUCUUCCAAACACUCCACAAAAUAAAAGCCAUCAGGAACACUAACUUAUUAUCUUCUCCUUGAGAACAAAGAGAGUUGAGAAUUUGUGUCCAGAAAUCAAUUGAUGAAGAACCUUGCAGAAUUGAGGAUCGAAGCAUUAGAGGAGAGUGAAACCAAAUUUGG